RNAcentral lists this transfer RNA (72 nucleotides) under Paracoccus solventivorans. RNAcentral describes it as "tRNA_Thr_TGT". It matches the Rfam family "tRNA". From Rfam's summary of the family: Transfer RNA (tRNA) molecules are approximately 80 nucleotides in length. Their secondary structure includes four short double-helical elements and three loops (D, anti-codon, and T loops). The record is from RNAcentral. RNAcentral also lists the same sequence under 1 other name. Lineage: Bacteria; Pseudomonadati; Pseudomonadota; Alphaproteobacteria; Rhodobacterales; Paracoccaceae.
GCCGGUUUAGCUCAGUGGUAGAGCGUCUGAUUUGUAAUCAGGGGGUCGGGGGUUCAAAUCCCUCAACCGGCA